Molecule: ribosomal RNA, 466 nt
Filed under: uncultured bacterium
Lineage: Bacteria
Description: bacterial SSU rRNA
Rfam family: Bacterial small subunit ribosomal RNA
Source: RNAcentral
UCCAGACUCCUACGGGAGGCAGCAGUGAGGAAUAUUGGUCAAUGGGCGAGAGCCUGAACCAGCCAAGUCGCGUGAGGGAAGACGGUCCUAUGGAUUGUAAACCUCUUUUGCCGGGGAGCAAAAAGCGGUACGUGUACCGCAUCGAGAGUACCCGGAGAAAAAGCAUCGGCUAACUCCGUGCCAGCAGCCGCGGUAAUACGGAGGAUGCGAGCGUUAUCCGGAUUUAUUGGGUUUAAAGGGUGCGUAGGUUGUUUUAUAAGUUAGCGGUGAAAUACCGAUGCUCAACAUCGGGGCUGCCGCUAAUACUGUAGGACUAGAGAUCGGAUGCAGCAGGCGGAAUGUGUAGUGUAGCGGUGAAAUGCAUAGAUAUUACACAGAACACCGAUUGCGAAGGCAGCUUGCUAGGCCGGAUCUGACACUGAUGCACGAAAGCGUGGGGAUCGAACAGGAUUAGAUACCCGCGUAC